Biomphalaria glabrata is the source of this 940-nucleotide long non-coding RNA. RefSeq lists it as uncharacterized. NCBI's taxonomy places the organism in Eukaryota, Metazoa, Mollusca, Gastropoda, Planorbidae. The record is from RefSeq and is a predicted model, not a curated record. The transcript is spliced from 5 exons.
UCUCUGUGCUCUGCGUUGUUGGAAUGACUGCAACAGCGCCACCUAUAGUCGGAAGUAUCAAACUUGUCUGACAUUUCAAGACAAGUUUUAUUACCCUGGCCUAGACUGGGCUGUAGAUGAAGAGUGGUGUAUGUUGUACAGAGAUGAAUCUUCGUUACAGUACGGCGACUGGAGGCUGGUCUUCAAGGCACACAGCGGAACUAAUUCUUCCUUUUACGACUUAUGGGAAAAAGAUGGUCAUCAUGACGACGGGCCGCUGUCCAGUGACCUGGCCAUGGGAUGUUAUGAUGGGACAAGAAAGAAACGUGCACACGUCAUUUUAGGAGCUCAGUUCUGGACAACUGGACCAACAUUGACAAAGUUAGAUUCUCGUUGAUCGCCAACGUUUCAGAAGUCGUCUCCAUAGUCUUCAAUGGAACAUCCACCACCAGACAGUCUUGGUAUGACAGGAGGCUAAUUUUAGAAUCAAGCUGGAGUCUGUUGAAAAAUGAUAGCCAAGCAGUGAACUUUAAUUUCCAAGGAUACACAUCAGAAAACGAUUCCCGUCGCCUGAUUAUAUUUGCAACCUAUAGUGGAUGUAACAACGACAGAAUGUACUUCUCUGCCUUUGACUCCGCCUAUGAAUCCUGCGGCACCACCUGGAUGCCCAUCCCCUCCUACCCUCUGUUUAUUUACUCACCUCAGAACCAGAUGGUGAAAGUGAGCACCAAACCACCAGAAUUCUCGGUAGCUGACAUUUUGUCGGUAUUUGUCCUGCAGAAGCAGCCAUGAAGGUCUACGUUAUAGUUUGCUAAAUAAUGACAAGAAACGAAGACUUCUAUGGGUGGAGUCUGCAUAAAAUGUAUAUCCGACGAUAAAACAAAGAACCUAUUAAUUUUGUUUAAAGCUCAAUAGAAUGGUUUUCAUUAUAUGGUGACUAGUCUGCAGGAAUGUACUAUGA